UACGGAGGGUGCGAGCGUUAUCCGGAUUUAUUGGGUUUAAAGGGUGCGCAGGCGGCGAGUUAAGUCAGCGGUAAAAUUUCGGGGCUCAACCCCGACAAGCCGUUGAAACUGGCUUGCUAGAGUGGGCGAGAAGUAUGCGGAAUGCGUGGUGUAGCGGUGAAAUGCAUAGAUAUCACGCAGAACUCCGAUUGCGAAAGCAGCAUACCGGCGCCCAACUGACGCUCAGGCACGAAAGCGUGGGUAUCGAACAGG
RNAcentral lists this ribosomal RNA (252 nucleotides) under uncultured bacterium. RNAcentral's name for it is "partial 16S ribosomal RNA". It matches the Rfam family "Bacterial small subunit ribosomal RNA", at positions 524 to 776 of the family's 1533-position model. The record is from RNAcentral.